Molecule: long non-coding RNA, 533 nt
Organism: Syzygium oleosum
Lineage: Eukaryota; Viridiplantae; Streptophyta; Magnoliopsida; Myrtales; Myrtaceae
Exons: 2
Source: RefSeq, a predicted model, not a curated record
AAUUGGCCGGAUUGACUGAAUUGACACAAAUACAAAAGGUUUAGGACUAAAUUGGCACAAAAAAGUUUAGGAUUGAAUUGACACAAUUACAAUAGGUUUAGGAUUGUUUUGGCAAUUAUCUCGAUUUUGGUCCAUUUUUAAUGAAUGCUGACCACCUGUUUGAUGAUAUGCCUGAGCUAAGUCAGUGUGGUUUUAUUCCCAUUGUUGAGCAAUAUGAGUGUAUAUCAGCAUAGUAUACAGUUUGUAAUCAACAUCCUGACUUGAUGACGUGAUUUUUUUUAUCAUUGAAGUUCAUUUGUGCAUGAAAACUAGUUUGUUUUCUAUCCAUUUCUACUGAUUUUUUAGCCAUGUAUUGAUCGAUGUUAAUCAUCAUGUUAUGAGGUUUGUGUUAGCACUGCUGAUGUAGUUGUUGCAUCACGAGGAGGCUAUGAAUUCUUCUUAUUGAAAUUUGAACUCUUGGGAAAGUGCUAAGCUAUUCACGCAGAUGUAAAAGAUUGUGAUUUCUGAUUCAAUAUAUUGAGGCCUGAUUUUAA